Helicoverpa zea (corn earworm) is the source of this 549-nucleotide long non-coding RNA. RefSeq lists it as uncharacterized. The record is from RefSeq and is a predicted model, not a curated record. Lineage: Eukaryota; Metazoa; Arthropoda; Insecta; Lepidoptera; Noctuidae. The transcript has 2 exons.
UUCACAAACGGUUUUAAAUUCCACUUGCAUCUGCAAAAUGCAUUUUUAUCGCAAUAUUUAUAAUCAAUGCAAUGCAAUGUAAAGCUGCAUUAAGUAUAUUAUUACUUGUGUUAAUCACACGUGUCUAUUGAAACAAAAUGAAACGCAUAUUAAUUUUAUUAGUAUGGGGGGCGUUUUUCUAUAUCUUAUUUGCAAACAUGGUGAACGGGAGUCGCAUCAUGUCGGCUUCGAGGCUCAGAAAACUUUACAACAACACAAAAAAUGCACAGUGACACAUUUAAAGGAGUCCUCCAAAUGAUAUACCUAUAUGAAAACGCCAUAAUUAAUUUCUUAUUAUUCUUCUUUCAUUCACUUCUUCUCCAUCUUCGUUUCAAGUUAUAAAAAAAAAUUGAAUGUCUAAAAUUCUUAUUUUUCUUUCAUAUUAUUUUUAUGUGUAAUCCUGUAUCAUGUCAUGAAAUUAUACUAAACAUAUUAUGCACAUUCAUUCAAAAGUAACAAUAUAAAGCAGAUAUUAUAUCAUGUGUACCAGUAAAAAAAUAUAUUUAUUUA